Molecule: transfer RNA, 73 nt
Filed under: Cordylochernes scorpioides
Lineage: Eukaryota; Metazoa; Arthropoda; Arachnida; Pseudoscorpiones; Chernetidae
Description: tRNA-Thr
Source: RNAcentral
UUCCAGGGAUGGGAAUCGAACCCACAGUGUUCCGCUUACCGGGCAGAUUCCAUGUCCACUAGGCUACCCUGGA